Molecule: ribosomal RNA, 328 nt
Filed under: uncultured eukaryote
Lineage: Eukaryota
Description: partial 18S ribosomal RNA
Rfam family: Eukaryotic small subunit ribosomal RNA
Source: RNAcentral
CCCUUAGAUGUCCUGGGCCGCACGCGCGUUACACUGAUGCAUUCAACGAGCUUAUAACCUUGGCCGAGAGGCCUGGGCAAUCUUGUUAACGUGCAUCGUGAUAGGGAUAGAUUAUUUAAAUUAUUAAUCUUGAACGAGGAAUUCCUAGUAAACGCAGAUCAUCAAUCUGCAUUGAUUACGUCCCUGCCCUUUGUACACACCGCCCGUCGCACCUACCGAUUGGAUGGUCCGGUGAAGCCUCGGGAUUGUGGUUCUUGCCGCUUUAUUGUGGCGUGACCGCGAGAACUUGUCUAAACCUUAUCAUCUAGAGGAAGGUGAAGUCGUAACA